GGUCACACCCUAACACUUCCCCUGUGGGCUAAUCACCAUCAAGAUGGAUGGACACUUGCGUGGGCAGCCUGGAGCUGUCUGGCACAUCCCAAACUCUGGGCACUUCAGGACCUGCAAGUGUGUGUGUGUGUGUGUGUGUGUGUGUUGGGGGACAUUGUAGAGGUUGUCAAAAGACAACCUUUCUUGGUUGAAGCUGGAAUAGGGGCAUCGGGCUGGUGCCAUGGUGGGGAUAGUGUAUGUCCAGAGAUAGCCACUAGGGGGCAGGCCAUGACAGCAGGUGGGCCAGGUUAACUGCUGCCUCAGCUCAAAAUGUCUGUGGGAGGACUUAUAACCUAGUGGAGAGUGUUUUGGGGCAUCUCCAGGAUUGGUAAACUCUGGAGAGAUCUAAGGUCCAGGGCUGAAUAGGAGGCGAGGACAGAGGAGGUGGGAGCCUAGUGUAGAUAUCUUUAUCACCUUAAGGCUGUGGUGAAGGUAAAUUGCUUGACCAUGAGGACGAGAUGGACACGAGUUUCCCCGCUGAGGAAGGUGUGGGGAAGAAGAUUGCUACGGGCCAUUGGAGGCCAUCAGAGGCCAUCAGAGGCUGCCAUCUCUCUCCUACAUUGUAGCAGUAAUGGUGGAAUUUCUGAAAUGUGUCUUUGAAAGGUUGUACUUUUACAUCUGAGACAGACUAGAGGUAACCAGAUCUUCCUGAGCCUACUGGAGUGGGAGUUUAGCAUGGUAAUUGGUUGCUAUUACUGAGUCUUUUUCCUAACUACGUCUCUUGAUCUUUAUUUUCCUUUAAAUAGGCUAAAGCAUGUGGGGGUGAAGAAGCCGGGUAAUCUGGCUCACGCCGGCGUACCAGUGCUUUGAGCAAAGGACCAUCAGCUGAGUAGUCAUCUGGGAUACCCUGAUGCUAGCACUCGGGACACUCUAUGUAACUUGAAGAAGUUCCACAGCACUCACUGCUGCUUGUUGCUGGAACACAACUCUGGUUCUUGUAGGCACUGCCUAGCCACAACUGCUUUGAAAAAUUAAUUAAUUAAUUAAUUAAUUAUAUGUAUUUGGGUGUUUUGCCCGGCACCUGUACAUUUGUGCCCCGUGUCUGUUCCUGGUAUCUGUGG
RNAcentral lists this long non-coding RNA (1100 nucleotides) under Mus spicilegus (steppe mouse). RNAcentral's name for it is "lncRNA (ENSMSIG00000015375.1)". The record is from RNAcentral. Lineage: Eukaryota; Metazoa; Chordata; Mammalia; Rodentia; Muridae.